This 292-nucleotide ribosomal RNA is filed under the name uncultured bacterium. Its description in RNAcentral is "partial 16S ribosomal RNA". The record is from RNAcentral.
GGACUACAAGGGUAUCUAAUCCUGUUCGCUCCCCUAGCUUUCGCACCUGAGCGUCAGAUGCUUCCCAGGACACUGCCUUCGCCUUUGGUGUUCCUCCGGAUAUCUACGCAUUUCACCACUCCACCCGGAAUUCCGUGUCCCUCUGAAGCCCUCAAGUCAGGCAGUUUCUAUCACACUUCAUCGGUUGAGCCGAUAACUGUCGCGACAGACUUACCUGACCGCCUGCGUGCGCUUUACGCCCAGUAACUCCGGACAACGCUUGCCCCCUACGUAUUACCGCGGCUGCUGGCAC